UGGGUAAUCUGCCCUCAGCUCUGGGACAACUCCGGGAAACCGGGGCUAAUACCGGAUACGACCUUCCCUCGCAUGGGGGUUGGUGGAAAGUUCUUCGGCUGAGGAUGGGCCCGCGGCCUAUCAGCUUGUUGGUGGGGUGAUGGCCUACCAAGGCGACGACGGGUAGCCGGCCUUAGAGGGCGACCGGCCACACUGGGACUGAGACACGGCCCAGACUCCUACGGGAGGCA
Molecule: ribosomal RNA, 230 nt
Filed under: uncultured bacterium
Lineage: Bacteria
Description: partial 16S ribosomal RNA
Rfam family: Bacterial small subunit ribosomal RNA
Source: RNAcentral